RNAcentral lists this ribosomal RNA (396 nucleotides) under uncultured bacterium. RNAcentral's name for it is "bacterial SSU rRNA". It matches the Rfam family "Bacterial small subunit ribosomal RNA", at positions 996 to 1393 of the family's 1533-position model. The record is from RNAcentral.
ACGGCCAGAGAUGGUCGCCCCCUUGUGGUCGGUGUACAGGUGGUGCAUGGUUGUCGUCAGCUCGUGUCGUGAGAUGUUGGGUUAAGUCCCGCAACGAGCGCAACCCUCGUUCUAUGUUGCCAGCGCGUUAUGGCGGGGACUCAUAGGAGACUGCCGGGGUCAACUCGGAGGAAGGUGGGGAUGACGUCAAAUCAUCAUGCCCCUUAUGUCUUGGGCUUCACGCAUGCUACAAUGGCCGGUACAAAGGGCUGCGAUACCGUAAGGUGGAGCGAAUCCCAAAAAGCCGGUCUCAGUUCGGAUUGAGGUCUGCAACUCGACCUCAUGAAAUCGGAAUCGCUAGUAAUCGCAGAUCAGCAACGCUGCGGUGAAAACGUUCCCGGGUCUUGUACACCCCGA